RNAcentral lists this ribosomal RNA (484 nucleotides) under uncultured bacterium. Its description in RNAcentral is "partial 16S ribosomal RNA". It matches the Rfam family "Bacterial small subunit ribosomal RNA", at positions 28 to 523 of the family's 1533-position model. The record is from RNAcentral.
GAUGAACGCUGGCGGCGUGCCUAAUACAUGCAAGUCGAACGAUGAAGCCGGAGCUUGCUCUGGUGAAUUAGUGGCGAACGGGUGAGUAACACGUGAGUAACCUGCCCUUGACUCUGGGAUAACUGCGGGAAACUGUAGCUAAUACCGGAUACGACCCUCGGAGGCAUCUCCUGGGGGUGGAAAGAAUUUCGGUCAAGGAUGGACUCGCGGCCUAUCAGCUAGUUGGUGAGGUAACGGCUCACCAAGGCGACGACGGGUAGCCGGCCUGAGAGGGUGACCGGCCACACUGGGACUGAGACACGGCCCAGACUCCUACGGGAGGCAGCAGUGGGGAAUAUUGCACAAUGGGCGCAAGCCUGAUGCAGCAACGCCGCGUGAGGGAUGACGGCCUUCGGGUUGUAAACCUCUUUUAGCAGGGAAGAAGCGAAAGUGACGGUACCUGCAGAAAAAGCACCGGCUAACUACGUGCCAGCCGCCGCUGUAA